CGGUAAUUCCAGCUCCAAUAGCGUAUACUAAAGUUGUUGCAGUUAAAAAGCUCGUAGUUGGAUUUCUGCGGGGACGGAGCGGCCGGUCGCAACUUGCGACUCGAGCUAGCGCUUUCCCCGCAUCCUGCCGCGAACCGUGCUACCAUUAGCUUGGUGGCGCUGGGGAUCGGCUCGAUUACUUUGAGAAAAAUAGAGUGUUCAAAGCAGGCCACACGCCUUGAAUAAGUUAGCAUGGAAUAAUGACUAAGGACUUCGGUUCUAUUUUGUUGGUGUUCGGGACUGAAGUAAUGAUUGAUAGGGACAGUUGGGGCGGUCUGUAUUCCAAAGCGAGAGGUGAAAUUCUUAGACCUUCGGAAGACAAACAGCUGCGAAAGCGUUCCGCAAGGAUGUUCCCUUUGAUCAAGAACGAAAGUUGGGGGAUCGAAGACGAUCAGAUACCGUCGUAGUCUCAACUAUAAACUAUACCAGCUAGGGAUCGGUCAACGUUUAAUCAUUCGACUUGAUCGGCACCUUAUGAGAAAUCAAAGCAUCUGAGUUCCGGGGGGAGUAUGGUCGCAAGGCUGAAACUUAAAGGAAUUGACGGAAGGGCACCACCAGCCGUGGAGCCUGUGGCUUAAUUUGACUCAACACGGGAAAACUUACCAGGUCCAGACAUAGUAAGGAUUGACAGAUUGAUAGCUCUUUCUUGAUUCUGUGGGUGGUGGUGCAUGGCCGUUCUUAGUUGGUGGAGUGAUUUGUCUGGUUAAUUCCGUUAACGAACGAGACCCCAGCCUGCUAAAUAGCGCGGUUGAGCUUUGCUCGAUGCGAGCUUCUUAGAGGGACUAUGAUGCGCGAUAGCACAUGGAAGUUUGGGGCAAUAACAGGUCUGUGAUGCCCUUAGAUGUUCUGGGCCGCACACGGGCUACACUGGCGCCUGCAACGAGCAUAUCAGCUGGCCCGAGAGGGUCUUGGCUAAUCUUUUGAACCGGCGCCGUGCUUGGGAUUGACCAUUGCAAUUGUUGGUCAUGCAACGAGGAAUGCCUUGUAAACGCGAGUCAUCAGCUCGCAUUGAAUACGUCCCUGCCCUUUGUACACACCGCCCGUCGCUCCUACCGAUGAAUGUUCCGAUGAAAUUUUCGGAGAGCGCCAGAGAACGGGGCUCCGCCUUGCAGAUCUGGAGGCUCAAAGUCACUUAAAUCUGAACAUUUCGAGGAAGGAGAAGUCGUAACAAGGUAGCCG
This 1218-nucleotide ribosomal RNA is filed under the name uncultured Rhizaria. RNAcentral's name for it is "SSU rRNA". It matches the Rfam family "Eukaryotic small subunit ribosomal RNA", at positions 577 to 1805 of the family's 1831-position model. The record is from RNAcentral.